Mauremys mutica (yellowpond turtle) is the source of this 555-nucleotide long non-coding RNA. RefSeq lists it as uncharacterized. The transcript is spliced from 3 exons. Lineage: Eukaryota; Metazoa; Chordata; Testudines; Geoemydidae. The record is from RefSeq and is a predicted model, not a curated record.
CAAGGUGGCCGUUACAGAAUUUUUCAAAGGAUGCAUUUACACAAGGAAAUGUCUCACCUGUUUAUCAGCAAUGGUGAAGCUGCUCCAGAGCUACCAUUGGUGAAAGAUCCGUUUGGACAUUGGCUGCUCAGAGUCUUGAGACAGGGCUAAGCAGAUGAAGUUUGAAAGUUGAGACUUACUGAGGACUAAUGACAUUGCUUGAAUUGAACCAGUGUUGGGUUUGAGUGACUGGCGUUAACAAUUGUGUGCAUUUCACCGCUCUUAUUAUUGAACAAAGCUUCAUACUCCUAACUUGGGAGGCCUGAUGACUUGCACUUGGAUUAUCAAAGGCUUUUGAAGGGCACUCUGGAAAAGGCCAGCUUUCCGGUACCUGCACUCAGGAAGCGGGAACUGCCCAAAGACCACAAAUUCCUGGAGCAUAUCUGUAACUAAGCACAGUACAAAAAGGCCAGUAUGCAAGAAGAGCAGCACCUUCGGAGCAAGGCAGAAUGUAGGCACAUCCAAGGUUGGUUCCUUAAUAUCCCAGUAACCACCCUGACCUGAGACACCUCUGGG